UAAAAAAAAAAAAAAAAAGAAUGUUCACUAACAUUAUAAUGCUGCAAUACAAUGAUACGACUGGUUAUGGGAAAAGGUUGGGACAAAGAAACAAGAAAAGGAGGGAAAAAUGGAAAAAUGUGACACAGCCUCCUAGGGCAGAGAAAAAUGUUCUAAAUCCAUAAUACAGAAAUGCCUGAAGAAACAACAGCUUGAAUCCUGAGCAUCCUUGAGGAAAUAUAGAAGAUCCAGAUUUUAAAUACAGUUUAGGAUCUAGUAUGCCAAUACUUUCUUACUUCCAUUCAAACGGUCCAGUGCAUAAUCUUGUUUUAUGCAUCACAUGCUUGAAAAUGCCUUUUAAAACUUGCUUGUAGAUGCUCGAUAAUAUCAUCACAUUUAAUAGAGUUUGUAAUCUUUCUUUGACUCACAAAUAUAGUCCAAUUAUUGUCAUUGGCAUCUAAUAAGGUCCCUAAAACAGAAAUUGCACAGCAUUAACACCACACAACAAAAGCCCUAAACAUAAUGGUAACCUGGUCGCUCCAACGCACGGAUUUUCCUUGCUUUCCAUAUGCU
RNAcentral lists this unclassified non-coding RNA (552 nucleotides) under Hevea brasiliensis (rubber tree). Lineage: Eukaryota; Viridiplantae; Streptophyta; Magnoliopsida; Malpighiales; Euphorbiaceae. The record is from RNAcentral.